AUCCCCCUUACCACUGUUCUUCAUCUCUCUUAGAGACGACCCCAUGGAAACCCUAGCCGUCAUCCCACCCUCUCGCGUGAAACCCGGUGGCCUGAGCUCUGAUGACCACCAAAUUAACACCCCUAAGCCAUAUGACCACCCCGAAUCCAAAUCCACCAUCCGUUUCCCUCGAAUCAGCCUAGAACUCCUUGAAUCUUCGAUCGAAGAUUGAUUUGAUCCAAACCUAAAUCUACACCAACCAGCCCCAAAUUCACACCAAGCCUCCCCAUACCUCCAUCAUAACCUAACCAAUGUUGGUUUAGUUCGAAUCUACUUACAAAAGCUCGAAUCCCAAAUCGAGCCCGAGAACCCUAACAAAAACCAGUUAGGGAAUCCAGUCUAAAUAAAGGGGAGUUUUGGUGUUCAAUGAACCUUAGUUGACAUGUUCUCAACUGAGAACAAUCAAUUAAGGUCCAUUCAACCUCGAAAGAUUCAAAUUUAAAUUCAAGUUAAGUUUGUCCAUUUCUGAUAAAUUUGAGGUAUUUUCCUCUUUCUCUUUCUCUUUUCUUUAUUCUAUUUCUUGUUAGUUCAGUUCUAUUUUGGAUUUUUAUCAAUUGUUUUUCUGUUUCUUCUCGGUAUGACCUUUUAUUUUGUCGAAGCUUUUCUUCUGUUCAUUGUCGAUAUGUCUAGGAUAAAUUAUACAUUCGAUGAUUAAUCUCGUCGAAUAGUUAGGUUUUGUAAUAGUUCCCUGAUUCUGUCAAAUGCCAAUAAAAUUACCUAUGUGCCUGAUUUUUUUGAUUGUUUGUUGUUAAUUGGUAUGUAUAAUCGAUUAUGUCGUCGAUUAAUCAAUUCCAUAUUAGCUCCAUGUUCUGUUCAAAAUCAUCCAAAUCAUAUGGAUGAUCUGUUAUAUAUAUAAUCAAUCAUUUAAGCUUUGUCGAUGAAGUCAUUCAUAUAGUUUUGAAUUGGUUGGCUUUUCUGUUUAGCUUAUGUAAUCACAUUGGCAUUCUGUCAGUUGCUUGAUUAAUUCGGAUCUUUUUUGAUUAAUGGCUAAAUAUGUUAUAGCUGAAUUAGAAUUAGUUUUAGGUAAUUUUCUUUAGGUUUCACAAAUUGGAUUAUAGGGUGAAUGUAGGAAUUCCAGGGGUAAUUUGGGGAGUUCAAAAUUAAAAAUUGGUUUAACUGAGUAUUAUGGCCAGUAGGGCCCAAUGUGCUUUUAUUUGAAUUAAUUGGUAGGGGGACCAUUGAAAAUGAUACAUGUUUGACUACUUUUACUUAAUUGGAAUUAGGAAUAGUAGUUUAAUGAUAAAAAGCUGAAAAGGUACACAUAGAAGAGCAUAUUUGGGGUAUGGAAAUUAAAGUAAGGGGUAAUUGGAAGGAUAAUUAUAAAAGGGUAGUAAUAAUAAUAAAAUGGGAGGCAAAAGAGUCUUGUUUUUAGAUAUAUAAGGAUUCAUUUCAACACUAGAAAGGGGGAUGAAGAAUCUGUUAAGAAAUUUUUAGAUUAGAAAUUGAUAGUUUGGAAAGGAAUUUUAAGAUUAGAAGUUCAAAAAUAGAGAAGAGCUGAAAAUAUAGAACUAAAUUCUAGAAUAUCAAAAAUCAGAAAAUACUACUUGUCUCACUUCGGUUCACCUCUACCGUGACUGUUGAGUGUAUUCUUGAGUGUUACUGGAUUUCCAAUGUGACAUUCUUGGGUUUCCUAAUGUUAGUUGAUUUCUGGUAUUGCUGUUGUCUACUUGGGUGUUGUUUGAGUUGUUGUUCGUAUUGGAGUCCUAUUGCAUCUAUUACUGGACUCUUUCUAUUUGGUUUUCUUCAUCUAUACUGGGAUUUCUGCUGUCAUUACUUGUUCUUUGCUGUGUUGCUAUAUUGCUGUAAUCUGCUGCUGUUUGUUCUGCUGAUAUUGAUCUCUCUUCUUCUUUUGUUUGACAUUCCAGGUACACAGUUGUAGCCUUGCCCAUUUGUAAGUUGAAUUUUUUUUGAAGCAUGAGUAAAAGAUAGCCUUAAGGCUUGAAGACAUUAGUCAUAUUUGCAUUCUAAGUUGUAUAUGUAUAUGUUAGAUAGUAGUUAGGUGGUAUCAUGUGAGUAGUUGGAACUGUAGGAAUAAGUAUUAAUCCGCAGUAGUCUAGACUUGCAAGUUCAAUCCCAUGAUGAUAGUUAGGAAUAAUCGAUGAUGUAGCUAUUAUGCCAUUUCCAGUUUUCCAUUCAGUUAUAUCACAUUUAAAUAGACAGCAUGUGUAAAAAUAAUUAACCAACAAUUCUAAUUCUUCUAGCUUAUAAUUCGCCUAUUG
RNAcentral lists this long non-coding RNA (2258 nucleotides) under Nicotiana benthamiana. RNAcentral describes it as "long non-coding RNA (NBEN_LNC039333)". Lineage: Eukaryota; Viridiplantae; Streptophyta; Magnoliopsida; Solanales; Solanaceae. The record is from RNAcentral.